RNAcentral lists this long non-coding RNA (1485 nucleotides) under Nicotiana benthamiana. RNAcentral's name for it is "long non-coding RNA (NBEN_LNC019025)". The record is from RNAcentral. Lineage: Eukaryota; Viridiplantae; Streptophyta; Magnoliopsida; Solanales; Solanaceae.
UGAAGUAGCCUGAUUGAAGGAGGAAUGAUGGUAGAUUGUAAUCAUGUACAGAAAUCAAUAUGAACUUAGGAAUCCCUGCAAGAAAAACAAAAGUAUUCAUGUAAUUCACAUUGAACAACUAUAAACCCUAGACUUGGCAUGAAUGAUAUGGAGAAAUAAGGGAACAAUAACAGAAGUUUUCAUGUACUUCACAUUGAACAACUAUAAACCCUAGGGUUGGCAUGAUAUGGAGAAAAAAGGGAACAAUGAGAAGGGAUGAAGUAAUCCGCAAAAAGAUUAGUUACAUCUGCCAUAAAAGUUGCUCCUGAACACAUCAAAGAGGCACCAUACUGUUAAUGGCAAAACCAUUAACAAAUUAUGCACACAAAAUUAGGUGUAAGAUAAAGUGGCAAAGCGAUGAAGUGGCAAAACCUUGAGUAGGAGAGAUGAUAAUAACCCCAUCCCAAACCCUAGGGUGAUGGGACCAUUCACCUUAAGAUUACUUCUUUCACAUCCACCCUAAGUCUCUUAAGGCACUAACAAGAAUUUACUCAUCUCCAUUACAUGAAUUUGCUUUCCGAUAAGGACUCUAAACAAUGCCCUUCUGUCAGUCCAUAUCAUGAAAUACCAGAGUAAUCAACCCCAAGAUGUUUCUCAAAAGGGACAACAAAUCGAAGUAAAAUAGCUUUAUUUUUUUAAGAUUUCUUUGAAAUUAGCACCAACAUAGGUGAAUCCAUUAUGAAAGAUUGAUAUACCAAUAUAAGAGUACGAAAGAAACUCAAAACUCAAAGGAUCAAAUACAUUUCCAACUUAACCUCUCUAUGUAAUAGCAGCAGACCAAAUUGCAAAGGUGACACCGUAAAAAACUCUACUUUCUUUUCCUAUUUUGACAUCCUUAUUUUUGCAAAACUCAUGUUGCCCUUUUUCCCCUCUACAUCUGCAUCAGUGUGCAGUUAUGUAAGAUAAGAAAAAAUUUGAAUAUUUACAGAAAAGGUCUAUUUGGUUUGAUCAUGUUUUAUGUAACCAAAUGCAUCGUCAUACAUGUGAAACAUAAUCAUUGGAGGUGUUAACGGGGGACAAAGAAGACCUAAAAUCACAUGAAAAAGGUUGUCUCAAAAGACCUAAAACCUCUUGAAAUCAAUGUAGACUUAGUGAAAAAUAGAGCAAGAUGGAAGCAUAAGAUCCAUAUAGGAGAUACUAACUAGCAGGGACUGAUGCUUAGUCAUGUUGAUAAGCUUACAUUAGGUCCAAUUUUUGCUGGGAGUCUUUCAGUCUUUUUGGACAUUUGUACAUCAACACAAAAUAUAGAUAACACCUGUGUUAAGUAAUUCCAAAGUAUUGAAUAGGGAGGUCUCAUAUAGCCAACCCCAACUAGCUUAAGAUCGAGGCAAAGUAAGUCAUUUGAUAGAUAAGGUAAGUUUUAUUAAUUGAGAAACCAGCACCCAGACAGUGCAACAACAACAACAACUACCCAGUAUAGUCCCACAAAGUGGGGUCUGGGGAGGG